GUUAGCCAGAUACCACCCUGAAAGUGCCCAAUCUCUCAUGAGCUUAGAAGCUAAGCAAGACUGGGCCUGGUUAGUA
RNAcentral lists this ribosomal RNA (76 nucleotides) under Phascolarctos cinereus (koala). The record is from RNAcentral. Lineage: Eukaryota; Metazoa; Chordata; Mammalia; Diprotodontia; Phascolarctidae.